Molecule: long non-coding RNA, 6365 nt
Filed under: Selaginella moellendorffii
Lineage: Eukaryota; Viridiplantae; Streptophyta; Lycopodiopsida; Selaginellales; Selaginellaceae
Description: long non-coding RNA (SMOE_LNC001912)
Source: RNAcentral
CCAGGGGCAGAAAGGGACUUAGUGGGGACUGACAGAGGGAUAUUGGGGAAGGCUAUUCCCCUUGUCGGUGGGCAUCCUAAGGAUGCUAAGGAGUGGAUCUGAGAUGACCACUCACGGAUGGUUUGCCUAGUCUUGGGGAGCCAAGACUGUGAUGCAAGUGGUAUUGGACUACCAGUGUGGCAAAGGUGAUUGGGCAUGGCCUUAGCGUAACGGGCUGCUAUGUCGGUGGUACCUUUGAGUGUCGGUCAUGGGAUCGGACACGUGGAGCACUUGGACCAAGUGCAAAUGUUGAGUGGCACGGAUGCCAUUCUCGGGGCUAGCAAGUCCCAAGUCCUGGAUUGGACUUAUGGAGGUUGUGAAUGAGACUCCUCCAAGUGGUCGGAGGUGUGGUUAAGUGACUAAAGUAGAAUGGAAAAUUUAGUCGCUUACAUUUUGGUAUCGGAGCUGUUCCUUAGUCCGACUUUUAUUGGUGCUCAAGUAUAUCACCACUAGUGUUGGCAUCGGAAGGUCCAAGGAGUGGGUCUAUCCUUGAGGAGUAGCAAGUCGGGAAGACAUGGCUCUCCAUUACAGUUCAUGUGUGAACUUGUAGACGAGGUGGUGGAUAGAAAAGGGCCAAUAAUGGAACGACUUUGGGAUCUUGGGAACAGUGCAAGGUUUUCCUCAUUGAGUUGAGGAUGUGAUCCGGAUGAGCAUUUGUCUCAGCAAAUUGGCUAAGGUUGUUGUGGUAAACAACCAAAGUUGGGAUCACGGGAAAGAUAGAGACUCCAAAACAAUAAAGGAGUCACAAGAUUAUCCUCAUAUAGUUGAGGUUGGUGCUCAUGAAUGUGAGACCAAAGGUAAUGACCGUGGUCAAAUACGGAAGAGGACUCAAGUCCUUGAAAUGGUAGCCGGGGUUACCUCUAAUAAAUGCUGGAACAACCCAAGGAGUUGGGGGUGUAUUGAGUGGAUGAGUUGGUAUUCUCAUCACAUGGACAAGUAGUCCUAAGGGGCAAAGGUUGCCCCCAGAGAACAAAAUCAAGUGUCGGAGUAACACUUGUGAAAAUAGUCCUUUUGAGUAGGACAGGAAUGCAAGAUGUGUAUUCCAGUGAGCUAGUGCCUCACAAGUAGGACCUUACGGGUCUGUGGAUUAACCAAGUCCAAAAUUGCUGGAUGACUCAAGUAGAGUCAACGGAUGGUCCUAAAAGGACUGAUGGAAGCAUUUGGACUGAGGUGUGUUGUACCCCACAAAGGAUGGGGGGGGGAUCAUAGGAUCCAAGGAUGAGAACAGAGGGUAUCUCAUCAAUGGCAAAAUAGGCCAUGCUAAAGUUAUGGGAAAGGUGUUCCCAGAAGAAAACAACUCUGACAUAAAGUUGUGUGUGACCUCUAUGGUGCAGUGCUAACGGAUGGUUGGCAUGAGAAAGAGCGGUGUUGGUCUUGGCAAAGACUUAGACACGAAGGGGAAAUGUCAUAGAGGUAGGCUCGUGGAGCCAAUGGUGUGGAGACACCAAAUGUGCCAAGGUGUGAUACCUUGAGGCUAUGUUGGUGGGUUCAUGAGAACCCCUUGCCAAAGGAAUCCCAAUGGAAAUGGGAAUAGCAUAGCCUAAGCUGCAGAGCAUGCAGUUGGAGUGUGGUGACCCAGAUAAUGAUGGAGGUGUGAAAGCACCAAGCAAUGAGUUGUAGGACUUGACAACUAUGAGGCAACUAAGCAAGAGGUGCAAAAUAACUGGUUAAACGGGUAGAAGGUAGCUACCCAAGACUUCUUAAUAGCAUAAGGAAGUUGGAUAUACCCUUACGGGGGAUAAGUUGCUUGUGUUGCGAUAUAGUAAGUCAAUGUCAUAAAAAGAAAUACUCAUUGUCAAGAAAGCCAUCAUUGGGACACCCGGACACUCUAGAACACCAAAAGGUGGUGUUUGAUGUCGCGAGGGCAAUGGUUAAAGCCCAAGGGACUAAGUCCCUAGCGAAUGAUGGAUAGAAGGUGCUAUCCAAAUGUCCAAGGUUGCGGAGACAGGAGAGGACUGUCUACCCGAAUUGGACAAAGCCAAAAAUGGAAUUUUGGCAAGGCUAGUGAUGGGCAUGUAAAGGCCCAUAAGCAACAAUGUAAUCCCAGUGUGUGGGAUUAUAAGGUGAGCAUACCCGGAUUGAGGAACCACUCCCUAGGCUAUUGGGUAGGUCCAUCCCUAAGAAUACUUGCUAAAGCAGGAUAGAAAGUGCAAAGCUAUCCUCCUGGUCUGGAGGAGAAUGACCGAAGGAAAGGUGUGAAGCCAAAGGCAAGUAGUAUUGGGAUGGAAUUGAACCAUAGAAAUCAAAGGGCAUAUCCGAUAGUGGUUAUGAAAGUUGGGAGUGGAGAAUCAAGAGGGUGCUCGAGGAUGUUGUUGCUAGCAACCGUGAUGCCAUGAAGAGUCUAAAAUAUGGAAUUGUCCAUGUUAGACUAUAUGGCAAUUAUAAAGCUUGCGAAAGGGGAGGCCUUAGCAAGCUGAGGGACAGAGCUCCUUCAAGGUUCCCAAAGACGAUUCUAGGUAGCGUAGUACCUAGAAAGGCCAAGUGUAGAUGGUUCAUGGAACGCGCGAAAUUAGAGUGGCGCAGCAGAAGCGUGGUCUUGAAGCUUGCCAUGAGGCAAGGUUAUCAAGGUUAGGGAAGUAGUUCCCGAGUGUUCAAAGAGAGGGCUUUGAACGAAAGUCGAUGGUCAAGGACUUUCACGCUUAUGCAGGAACCAUGUUACAAUGGUCGGAGGACUUGCCAAGUGAGAUUGGCACGUCGGGGGAACAAAGACCCUAGUUGAAGGUGAUAACUUCAAAAAGGGUGGGCCAUGGGGCCGAGCAUGGAGGAGUCCAUGCAUGAUCACAGACAUGUCAAGUGAGAGGACUUGGCAGUGUGGAGGAACUAGGUUCCUAAGCUGUGAUCUGUAGCGCGCUUUAAAAAUAGGUUGGUGCACCGGCGUGGGGAGUCACGCCAGGCAUCUAGUGUGAUGCCGUCCGUAGAUGCAUAUACGGAGGUUGGGUUCGAGUCCCGACCCUCUAGUGCUUGGGUUCGAGUCCCAAAUCACUAGGGCGUGGUGAUGGUUUGGAAUAUGAGGACACUCAUAUUUCGGUGGUCAUGGACUCUCAGUGGGGAGACUGGUUUGGGCACACCGCCAAGCGAGGGAUGCCUCGGAGUCGUGAUGCACGGUUAGAUUGCUUAGUGUGAAAGCUCAGCAUAUCUAACUUGAACACUUUGGUGCAAGUGGCACCAAGGUCGUGGUGAGUGAGAUGGGGACACCUAAUCUCAGUUGCUAUGAACCCUUGGCCAUAAGGGCUAGCUUGGGUGCACCGCCAAGUGUGGGGGAUGCCCCCGGGGUUAUAGUCAACAACUUGGAGGUCUAGAAGACCAAGUACCUCUUGGCAACUCUGUUAAGGUGCCAAGGUGAGAUCACUAGGUGAUCUUAUGGCCAGAUAAGGACAAGGUCCUUGGUUGGCUAAGGAAUGAAGUUCCUGGUUCAAAAUGUUGAAAUUGAACUGUUUAAGGUGGUGUGGCUUGGUCGUGAUAACCAAGUGGGAAGAGCACCUAAGGGAAAUAAACUAUGUCGAUGCGAUGGCAUAGUGAGUCCGAGGAAAGUAGUCUCUAUAAAAGACCCAUGGGAGGGUCACGAAGUUGGGCCGUGGAUAGAGCCCAUAGCAGAAGAUGAUAAAGAGACGUACUAGGGGUGAACAUCCUCCGGACUUGGCAAAGAAGAGUCUUUGCUAUGGAACCGAAACAAUACCUCAAGGAGGGAGGUAGAGAUUCGAUGUUGCUUGGUGCAACAAUCAACGGAUAGGAGCAAAAGAUGAAUGGCCAAGAUAGGGCCGUGGAAUCCCUUGGAAGGAAUCCAAGUGACAAAGUUAGGCGAGGAACACUAAUGUGUUGGACGCUAACAAGUUGCGGGAAAGGAAGUGUGUUUCCAAGGAGGGAUUCCGAAUUGCUCCGAUUUGGCAAAAGUGGAAGCUCCAAGGGAGGGAGCGGUAAGGUAGCCAAAUGAUAGGGCCAUGAACAGCCCUAGCACAAAGUAUGAUAACUGGAACUUUGGCACGAAAUAGAAGAGAGGAUGAUGGUGCCCUCGAGUAGAGAACUUCCUAGGAUGGGAAGUGGAGUUGCACAAAAGGUGCAAGGCAAGGUGUCGGAGACACCUAGGAAAUUGACUCCAAGAAGUCAAAAUUCAAAGUUCCAAAGUGCAAAGGUUAUAUCGAUGGAAAUUGAGACUACUCGAGAAGGAGUAGUGGGUUUGACUUAGAGAAGGGUCUCUAAGAGGUUUAGCGAGAACUAAACCAAUAAAAGGAGAGAACUAAUCCUUGUGGUCCAAUCAGUCUCUAAGUUGGGGAGACUACCCUCCUUAGAGGAUAGGCAAGGCAUAGUGAGCCUUUGGUGUCAAACCAUUGAGGCAUAUGCAAAAGGCAUGGUGAGCCUUCAAUGUCAAACCAUUGACAAAUAUUGGCUAGGUGCCAAGGAUGGAAAUGGUAACACAUACAGGUGUUACUUUACAAAAUGGUUUACCGUUCGAUGAGGACAUCGAACUUCGUCUAUGGGUGGUGGAGUUGUGAGACACAAAAUCCCUAGGCCCCAAAGUGGAGCCGGAAGGGCGCCACAUGGUAGUGGCCGAAGCGAGAGCCAAAAGAGCAUAACACGUUUGGACCAAAAGCUCCGACUUGAAAAGUCAAGAGCGGGAGUGGAACUCCCAACGAAGUGCUCGAGGAACGAGCACGAAGCGAGCAAAAGGCAAGGCUCCAAAAAGGGACCCAAAAGGACCAACACAUGACACGUGGGAGUGUCCGAAAUGGACUCGAGUUGGAGUCCGAAGUGGAGUCCGAGAUGGACUCGAGUUGGAGUCCGAAGUGGAGUCCGAGAUGGACUCGAGUUGGAGUCCGAAGUGGAGUCCGAGAUGGACCCGAGUUGGAGUCCGAAGUGGAGUCCGAGAUGGACCCGAGAUGGAGUCCGAGGUGGACCCGAGAUGGACCCGAGUUGGAGUCCGAAGUGGAGUCCGAGAUGGACCCGAGAUGGAGUCCGAGAUGGGACCCGAGAUGGACCCGAGUUGGAGUCCGAAGUGGAGUCCGAGAUGGACCCGAGAUGGAGUCCGAGAUGGGACCCGAGAUGGAGUCCGAGGUGGACCCGAGAUGGACCCGAGUUGGAGUCCGAAGUGGAGUCCGAGAUGGACCCGAGAUGGAGUCCGAGAUGGAGUCCGAGAUGGAGUCCGAGGUGGACCCGAGAUGGACCCGAAAUGGAGUCCGAGAUGGAGUCCGAGAUGGACCCGAGAUGGAGUCCGAGAUGGAGUCCAAGAUGGACCCGAGAUGGACCCGAGAUGGAGUCCGAGAUGGAGUCCGAGAUGGAGUCCGAGAUGGAGUCCGAAGUCGAGUCCGAGUUCGAGUCCGAGUCCGGAGCCUGAGAGGGUGAAAGCCCAAAGCGUUCGUCUCCCAGACCCUGGGGGGUUUGGUGAGCCCCAAAAGUAUAGUAGGGGGGAGGACUGCAGUGGAGCCAGUUUGGCCAGGAAAGGCCAGUUUGGCCCAGGAAGGCCGGACCCAGUGUUGGGUGAUGAGCUGCCCACUGGGAAGUCCAAGACUAGAGUGAACAUAGACCGACAAGCGGGGUAGCUUGGUGAAGUGUUCAAGAGCCGGCUCUAGUUCCCCCGGGAGAUCGACUGGCCGAUGCUCCCAAUCCAAGUGUGGGUGGCACUACCUACUUGGAUACCUGGUGUGGCUCAACGGAACCCGCUCUAAGCCCAUGGCUAGAGCACCCAAGGGUAGAAGGCGAGGAGAGUACCCAGGUGGCUCGCGUAAGGCCAUGGUGUUCCGAAAUGUUGUCCCAAAGGCCCAGACUGUGGAAAGGAAGAGGAGCAGUCCUCUGGGGUAGUGACCAAGGACACAGUCGUGUGGUGAGGAAGUCCCAGAGGACCGUGGGACUUAGUGGUCGGGCCUGUGGGUCUCGGUCCUGUGGCAGUGUUGGCAAACACGGCCAGGGGCAGAAAGGGACUUAGUGGGGACUGACAGAGGGAUAUUGGGGAAGGCUAUUCCCCUUGUCGGUGGGCAUCCUAAGGAUGCUAAGGAGUGGAUCUGAGAUGACCACUCACGGAUGGUUUGCCUAGUCUUGGGGAGCCAAGACUGUGAUGCAAGUGGUAUUGGACUACCAGUGUGGCAAAGGUGAUUGGGCAUGGCCUUAGCGUAACGGGCUGCUAUGUCGGUGGUACCUUUGAGUGUCGGUCAUGGGAUCGGACACGUGGAGCACUUGGACCAAGUGCAAAUGUUGAGUGGCACGGAUGCCAUUCUCGGGGCUAGCAAGUCCCAAGUCCUGGAUUGGACUUAUGGAGGUUGUGAAUGAGACUCCUCCAAGUGGUCGGAGGUGUGGUUAAGUGACUAAAGUAGAAUGGAAAAUUUAGUCGCUUACAG